CCUACGGGAGGCAGCAGUGGGGAAUAUUGCUCAAUGGGGGAAACCCUGAUGCAGCGACGCCGCGUGAGUGAAGAAGUAUUUCGGUAUGUAAAGCUCUAUCAGCCGGGAAGAAAAUGACGGUACCUGUGUAAGAAGCGCCGGCUAACUACGUGCCAGCAGCCGCGGUAAUACGUAGGGGGCAAGCGUUAACCGGAUUUACUGGGGGUAAGGGGAGGGUUGAGGGAAGUAAAAGUCCGGAGGGAAAUGCCGGGGCUUAACCCCGGAACUGCUUUUGAAACUGAGCAGCUAGAGUGCAGGAGAGGUAAGAGGAAUGUCUGGUGUAGCGGUGAAAUGCGUAGAUAUCAGGCGGAACACCAGUGGCGAAGGCGGCUUACUGGACUGCAACUGACGUUGAGGCACGAAAGCGUGGGGAGCAAACAGGAUUAGAUACCCUUGUAGUC
This 440-nucleotide ribosomal RNA is filed under the name uncultured bacterium. Its description in RNAcentral is "partial 16S ribosomal RNA". It matches the Rfam family "Bacterial small subunit ribosomal RNA", at positions 338 to 795 of the family's 1533-position model. The record is from RNAcentral.